AACGCACAUUGCGCCCGCCAGCACUCUGGCGGGCAUGCCUGUCCGAGCGUCAUAUCGACCCUCAGGCCCCCGUCCCCCUCCCCACCGGGCCCGGUGGGAGGGGGGGGAACCGCCUGGCGUUGGGGAUCGGCCGGGUCCGCCCGCGCCGCCCCCUAAACACAGUGGCGGCCUCGCUGCAGCCUCCCCCUGCGUAGUAGCACGACAACCUCGCAUCGGGAGCGCGGCGCGGCCACGCCGUAAAAAUCUUAAGCCCCGGCUUCACUGAAGUUGACCUCGGAUCAGGUAGGGAUACCCGCUGAACUUAA
Molecule: unclassified non-coding RNA, 305 nt
Filed under: uncultured fungus
Lineage: Eukaryota; Fungi
Description: partial contains 5.8S ribosomal RNA, internal transcribed spacer 2, and large subunit ribosomal RNA
Source: RNAcentral